RNAcentral lists this long non-coding RNA (920 nucleotides) under Mus pahari (shrew mouse). RNAcentral describes it as "lncRNA (MGP_PahariEiJ_G0002632.1)". Lineage: Eukaryota; Metazoa; Chordata; Mammalia; Rodentia; Muridae. The record is from RNAcentral.
CUCAACGCCAUUCCUCCCUCAGUCCAGCCCGGCCCGGGCACCUUAGAACUUUCGCCCGCUGGCCUAGCGUCCACUUGUCCCGGCAGACGCGCGUGGGGUCCGCGUCCGGCGCUGCCUGUUCCACAGCCCUGCUCCGGCGAUGCCCUGUUUCCUGUUCAACAAUAUAACCGGCGGAGAGCGCUCCGCAGAACUUCCUCCCAAGCCGGGGCUGGGCUGUGCUUGCAAGAGACAAUCCCCGGUGUCCUGGCUUCCUGUCCCCUCUGGGCCGGGCCAGCGCUCUAGGAGCAGAGACGCCACCCUUCCCCCUCUUCCCCGGGAUCCUGGGCCACACCUGGCUGUCUCCGGGGAGGAGGUGGUGGCAGGGCCUGGAUGGAGAUCUGCGGGGGAGGCAGUUUCUCUCAGCUUCUGACCAGAUUAAAACUCCCACUGACCCUCAUCCUUGUCGGAGGAAGUCACCGUCCACUCUGCAGGCAGCCAGAGUGCAGCUGCGGGAUCCUCCCAUUUUGGAAACUACCUGCCUCUUGGGAAAGCAGCCUUAGCACUCGGAGGUGUGCCUGUGAACACUUCUGACAAGGGAGGCACUUUCUGGGGAUGAGAACUCCAGUUUUCCCAUCCCCCUCUAGACAGAGGGUGAAAGGGGAAACUGCCCCCAGAGGCACUGUGCUGAAGGUGGAAAGACUGAACCAAAGACAGCAGCAUCAGCUCAAGUGCCAGGAGCCUCCCCUGGACCUGCUGCCCCCAACCUCCAAAUCCAGUUCCUCUUCCUUUUCUCUGAGCCUAGGCCCCUGGAGAACCUGCCGCAAAGAUGGCCAAGGAGCACCCCACCCACUGGCUGAGGGGCCUCAAGGCCAGGAAAUGAAGCCCUGGAUGUUGUCUUUUUCUGUCCCAUUUUCCUGCAACCUGGUUUCCCUAGGAAUUAA